Molecule: non-coding RNA, 691 nt
Organism: Durio zibethinus
Lineage: Eukaryota; Viridiplantae; Streptophyta; Magnoliopsida; Malvales; Malvaceae
Source: RefSeq, a predicted model, not a curated record
GCUUCUUUUUGUUUGAGGCAGCAAUUGAUCACGCGCUAAACGCGUGUCAAUUUACCUUCUCUAUUUAUAUAGGCAUUUUAGGAGAUCUCCAAAUUCCAAAUAAUUGUUUGUCUUUUAGGGUUGGGGCUUUGUUUUUCUCCGUCUCUCUAUUUCUCUGAUCUCUUCGAAUUUCAGACGCAAGCCCUAACCCUAGGCUCCCAACUAUGUCGUCAAAGCAAGGUGGAAAAUUGAAGCCUUUGAAGCAACCCAAAUCCGAUAAGAAAGAAUACGAUGAGCAUGAUAUGGCUAACCUUCAGAAAAAGAAGGAAGGAGAGAAGGCACUUAAAGAGCUGAGAGCAAAGGCUCAAGAAAAGGGCACAUUUGGUGGUGCUGGCCUCAAGAAGAGUGGGAAGAAAUGAGGGUCUAAAAAUCAAGCUAAACCAAAAAAACUAUUGAGUCUUGUGUUGUGAUUACAAUUUCUAUUAAGAUGAUAUCUUUUGGGAUGAUUUGAUUCUCUAGUGUCAUACUGAAUUUGGCAAUUUGCUGCAAAGCCAUGUGUGGAAUGUUUGUAAAAAUAAAUUUAAAGUUCUACGUUUGUGCUUAUGUUUGUGUUCUUAAAUCUGCUAUAGUUUUGAUUUGCUAAUGCCUGGAUUUGGCUUUGGCUUAUCAAAUAUAACAGUUGUGAAUCUGAUGACAAUAAGUUCUUGCCUUU